UACGUAGGGUGCAAGCGUUAAUCGGAAUUACUGGGCGUAAAGCGUGCGCAGGCGGUUAUGCAAGACAGAUGUGAAAUCCCCGGGCUCAACCUGGGAACUGCAUUUGUGACUGCAUGGCUGGAGUGCGGCAGAGGGGGAUGGAAAUCCGCGUGUAGCAGUGAAAUGCGCAGAUAUGCGGAGGAACACCGAUGGCGAAGGCAAUCCCCUGGGCCUGCACUGACGCUCAUGCACGAAAGCGUGGGGAGCAAACAGG
This 253-nucleotide ribosomal RNA is filed under the name uncultured bacterium. RNAcentral's name for it is "partial 16S ribosomal RNA". It matches the Rfam family "Bacterial small subunit ribosomal RNA", at positions 524 to 776 of the family's 1533-position model. The record is from RNAcentral.